RNAcentral lists this ribosomal RNA (274 nucleotides) under uncultured bacterium. RNAcentral describes it as "partial 16S ribosomal RNA". It matches the Rfam family "Bacterial small subunit ribosomal RNA", at positions 523 to 796 of the family's 1533-position model. The record is from RNAcentral.
AUACGGAGGGGGUUAGCGUUGUUCGGAAUUACUGGGCGUAAAGCGCACGUAGGCGGACUGGAAAGUUGGGGGUGAAAUCCCGGGGCUCAACCCCGGAACUGCCUCCAAAACUUCCAAUCUAGAGAUCGAGAGAGGUGAGUGGAAUUCCAAGUGUAGAGGUGAAAUUCGUAGAUAUUUGGAGGAACACCAGUGGCGAAGGCGGCUCACUGGCUCGAUACUGACGCUGAGGUGCGAAAGCGUGGGGAGCAAACAGGAUUAGAAACCCCGGUAGUCC